This is a long non-coding RNA of Lycium barbarum (goji berry), 992 nucleotides long. RefSeq lists it as uncharacterized. The record is from RefSeq and is a predicted model, not a curated record. NCBI's taxonomy places the organism in Eukaryota, Viridiplantae, Streptophyta, Magnoliopsida, Solanales, Solanaceae. The transcript is spliced from 3 exons.
GGUUAUGUACGUUUUAAGAAAAUGUUGCGAAGCAGCUCCCUUAGGACCCACUAAGGCGGUGGAACUUUUCACCAAGUGAAUAAAUCGGUGGGAGCUUCAUUUUAAGUCAUUUUCACUUCCUAUACACUCCUAAAAACCUCUCCAACAGUUCCCACAAGAUCCAAGAGCUAAAUCAAAUGUCGGGAAUCCCGUGGUGCUAGUAGAACUUAGCUUCUUCUUGUUGUGUUGAAGAUGGAAGUUCCUUCAAGUUGAAGUAAGCUUGAGAAUAGGCUUGCUCUUGCUGGUUGAGAUUAAGAUGUGACGAGUUGAGUUCAACGUGAUUAUUGGACAGAUUAUUAUAAGGUUGAAGCGCUAUUCAAGCCGAGUACGUUGUCAUAGGCGAGCACUUGACAAGAGGUCCUGACAGGUAGCCAGAGACAACGCUUCAGUAGCGAGCAUCAGAGUUCAGCCGAUUGGUAAGCUCCCUUCAUCCGUGUCACGCCCCGAACCUGGGCCUGGACGUAACACGGCACCCGGUGCCUGACUGCAUGUGACCAAGUGAACCAACUGGCUGACUGAAUCAACAUGUGAUAUCAAAACAUAACUGAAUGUGGAAACAACUAAACACAUGCUGAUAUACUAAAGGUCUGACUGAAAUCAUAAUGCGGAAAUACAUAGAAAAUCUGAAAUAUAUCUAAAAGUAGCCAACAUGGCUAAACCAAAACGACUGAACAACUGCCAUCAAGGCUAACAUAAUAAAUAUCUGACUGUCUGAACCGUGUCUAUGAAGCCUAUGAGAGCACUGAAUAAUAAAGCUGUCUAUAAACUGAAAUGACUGGAUAGCUGACAACGCUCCGAAGGAAUUUGGGGCUCACCAGUAGCUGAUACGUGCUCCUAAAUAUCUGAGUCGUCACCUGUGUAUCGUUGCCCCACGCGCCUGAAAGAGCGACGGGUGUCGGUUCUGCACAGUGUUCGGUAAAAUGGACAUAACUUCUUGUACAUAGCUCUGUUUG